UUGUUAGUCUCUUUUAGAGAUACUGAGAAAAACUGCUUUUGUUGGUAUCUUUUUGUGUUGUUUGCUUUUUAAUGUCUUUAAGUUUUUGAAGGGUCCCAGUCAAUUAUCUUUAGAAUGUCCCACCCAACUUUGGAUUUGUCUGUUUCCUCAGAAUUAGAUUUACCUGAAUUUAUCAUGUUAAACAUUUUUCACAGUGAUACCACAUCUGUGAUGUUGUGUAAUUCUGCUAACACUGUAUCAAAAGGCACCUAAUGCCAACAUAAAGUUUAUGAUAUAUAAAUUUGUAAUUGGCAGCAACAAAGACUUAAUUGCUUGAAUCAUUUUUUCAUUUUUCAAAUAGACAACGACUGAAAGACCUUUCAUUCAGAAGCUGUUUCGUCCUGUUGCUGCAGAUGGACAGUUGCACACACUAGGAGAUCUCCUCAAAGAAGUUUGUCCUUCUGCUGUUGAUCCUGAAGAUGGGGAAAAAAAGAAUCAAGUGAUGAUUCAUGGAAUUGAGCCAAUGUUGGAAACACCUCUGCAGUGGCUGAGUGAACAUCUGAGCUACCCGGAUAAUUUUCUUCAUAUUAGUAUCAUCCCGCAGCCAACAGAUUGAAGGAUCAACUAUUUGCCUGAACGGAAUCACCCUUAAAUGGGAUUUAUCAGAGCAUGUCACCCUUUUGCUUCAAUCAGGUUUGGUGGAGGCAACCUGACCAGAAACACUUCGCUGCUGCAAGCCAAACAGGAAAAAGAUUCCAUGUCAGAUAAGGCAACUGGGCUGGUCUUACUUUGCAUCACCUCUGCUUUCCUCCACUGCCAUCAUUAAACCUCAGCUGUGACAUGAAAGACUUACCGGACCACUGCAAGUCUUCUGUAAAAUAUAAUGAAGCUGAAAUCUUUGGCCUAAGAAGAAAAUGGAAAUAUGUGCCACUCGAUUUGUAUUUCUGAUUAACAAAUAAACAGGGGUAUUUCCUAAGGUGACCAUGGUUGAACUUUAGCUCCUGAAAGUGGAAACAUUGGUUUAAUUUUCAAGAGAAUUAAGAAAGUAAAAGAGAAAUUCUGUUAUCAAUAACUUGCAAGUAAUUUUUUGUAAAAGAUUGAAUUACAGUAAACCCAUCUUUCCUUAAUGAAAAUUUCCUAUGUUUACAGUCUGUCUAUUGGUAUGCAAUCUUGUAACUUUGAUAAUGAACAGUGAGAGAUUUUUAAAUAAAGCCUCUAAAUUUGUUUUGUCAUUUAAUAACAUACAGUUUUGUCACUUUUCAAGUACUUUCUGACUCAUAUACAGUAGAUCACUUUUUACUCUGUGUUACCAUUUUGACUGGUCGUCAUUGGCUGGGGUGGAUAUAGGGCAUAGGAUUACUUGUCUCAGGAGCUGUCAUGGAAUUUCUUGCUGCCAAUUAAAAAACCUGUGUUCAUUACACACUACACGUAUAAAUAUUGUAACUGUUCAUCUUUGUUGUUUUAUCACUGUAAGCCUGUCAAAUCAUAGUAUCCUAAGCAUCUGUAAAUGCUAAGUUUGCAUUUUUGGAAAAACCCACUCCUUCCAAGCUAGUGUUUUUCUUUGGCUCCAGGUCUAAUUUUUCACUGUGGUCCCUGGCAGCCAGUCUUUUGAAGUUUAAAGAUUACCUGUCUCCUGACUGCAGUACCUUUUCUUUAAUUUCUACCAAAAAUAUCCAGAGGUUACUGGAGUUCUUAUUCAAUAUAAGGAAAGUUUGCUGCACUUUAUUACCAAGCCUCUGGGAUUUUACCAGUCAAACAUAUUUGUGCAUUACAUUUCAUUUCUUGUGAGCUAGCUGGCUGUCCAUAUUGAAUGUUGACCCAUUUGAGUAUGCUAAAAGACUUAUAGUAUCAGACACGAUCAUGGUUUUAGAUCCCAUAAUAAAAAUGAAUGUUUUUCUUAUAAAAAAUUAUACGAAUGCUGAAGCGAGAUUCUACUAUUGUUCAUUGCUUCCUUUUCUUUUUUGUGAUUUUCACCAAUUAAUAGCACAUUUCUUCACAAAAGUAGAUAAAGUUGGUCAAAGACCAGAUAUUCUGGAGUGGAAAUUGUAAAGCUUAAUCAAAAAGAAUAGCCAGUACAGCAUACAAUCUCAGAAACUUAGAAGCAAGUAGAAAAUAAUUGGUUGAUGUAAACGAAAGUGCCAUUUUAGUAAAGGCAGGAAAAAAAAUAGCAAUAUUUGAGUUAUGUAAGGAUAAAAAAUCCACUGACUUGUAUUUUUGCACAAGAGGCUGGUCUGAAUAUGAUUGUUCACAUUAAGAGUGUUUAUUCGUCGGUUCGGUUUGGGGAUUUUCCCCCUUGAUGUUUUGACAGAUUGAAGUGAGCUUCAGUGAGCAAAAGGAUCAGAAUGCAGGGAACACUAAGCUGUGAUGAAGAAAGUGUGGUAAGAAUGGAAAGCCAGAGUAGUUUUAUACAGACAAAACCAGUGUCAGGCCUUUGCAGUAGGCUUGAGUGAACUUCUGAUCUAGAUUUGAAAGUAAAUUUUAUCAAGACAUUGCCCAUUUUUACUUCCUCAUUCAUUAUUGUACCAGCAUCAUAACUUCAUUACUCUAAUCCCAGGUAAGUCAAGCCUACAAUGCCCUAGAGGAAGAGUAAAACCAGAAAUUCAUGCUGGCUUAAAUAAUCUAUUUUUGUUUCUUCUCAUUUGAAUAUUUAAAUUUUAUGGUUUAUUAAAAAAUUAAAUAAA
This 2660-nucleotide small RNA is filed under the name Pongo abelii (Sumatran orangutan). RNAcentral's name for it is "processed transcript". The record is from RNAcentral. Lineage: Eukaryota; Metazoa; Chordata; Mammalia; Primates; Hominidae.